Oncorhynchus kisutch (coho salmon) is the source of this 979-nucleotide long non-coding RNA. RefSeq lists it as uncharacterized. The record is from RefSeq and is a predicted model, not a curated record. NCBI's taxonomy places the organism in Eukaryota, Metazoa, Chordata, Actinopteri, Salmoniformes, Salmonidae. The transcript is spliced from 2 exons.
CAUGCGUCCCGUUUCAUCAGGUGAUUAAAAAUCUGAACGCACUACCAGCGCUUUUCAAUUUAAUUGCGCUUUCCUAUGGACAGGUUCUCACAUUCCUUCCAGCAAAAGGACCAACCCGUAGAAUGAGGUCCCUUCCCUGCUUCAGAUGAGGUCCCUUCAUUGCUUCAGAUGAGGUCCCUUCCCUGCUUCAGAUGAGGUCCCUUCCCUGCUUCAGAUGAGGUCCCUUCCCUGCUUCAGAUGAGGUCCCUUCCCUGCUAUUGGAGAUAACUUCAAGACAAAACUAUAUGAUCUCAUGACACUUGUUUGUAAAAAUAUUGCUUUUUGUUUCUUUAAAGAUUGAAUGGGGAACACAAUCUAAAGAGGGAACAAAUUUAAGAAAACACUUUGUACAGUUUGUUGUCAUAGAAGUAUUCUGGCAAGGACAUUCAGACAUUUGGCCCUGUCUUAUCAAUGUCAUUUCAAUAUCAAGGAAAAUAGCUUAAAUAUAUAUUUGAUCAGAUAAGGGAUAGUAAUUACCAGCACCUCACAAUCAAUGGAAUCAUCCAGGACUAUUGAAUUAUUUCUGUGAUUAUUAUUGAUUACACUGGGGUGUGAAAGAUGGCUGGGUCAGGUGAGACACACUGACGCAUAUUAAGUCAUUGAGGGUGCAGUUGAGCAUUUCUAUGAACCUGUCAACUUUUAAGGGCAGUUUGAGAACUGUGGAAUGUGUGGGCUUAAGUAAUGAUUAGGUUUGAUAGGCUACCUGAAAAGACUUGGCAUGGCCUAAGGACAGCAAGUAUCCUAGCAGUUAAACAUGCUGGGCCAGUAACAGAAAGGUCACGGGUUUGAAUACCUGAGCUGACAAGGCGAAAAAUCUGUUGAUAUGGCCACGUACUACUGUAAAACAACAUAUUUCACUGCAUCUAUCCGGUGUGUGUGACAAUAAAAUAUAUAUUUUUGACAACACAUAUUUUAUUUUAUUAAAUGUUUUACUAAUGUG